GUGCUCACUUCCACAGCACAUAUACUACAACUGAACAAUACCGGGGAGACUAGCGUGGCCCUGUGUGAGGAUGACUCAAAUUUGUGAAGUACUACAUCUGCUC
Molecule: small nuclear RNA, 103 nt
Filed under: Peromyscus maniculatus bairdii (prairie deer mouse)
Lineage: Eukaryota; Metazoa; Chordata; Mammalia; Rodentia; Cricetidae
Source: RNAcentral